GACGAACGCUGGCGGCGUGCUUAACACAUGCAAGUCGAACGGAAAGGCCCUGCUUUUGUGGGGUGCUCGAGUGGCGAACGGGUGAGUAACACGUGAGUAACCUGCCCUUGACUUUGGGAUAACUUCAGGAGACUGGGGCUAAUACCGGAUAGGAGCUCCUGCUGCAUGGUGGGGGUUGGAAAGUUUCGGCGGUUGGGGAUGGACUCGCGGCUUAUCAGCUUGUGGGUGGGGUAGUGGCUUACCAAGGCUUUGACGGGUAGCCGGCCUGAGAGGGUGACCGGCCACAUUGGGACUGAGAUACGGACCAGACUCCUACGGGAGGCAGCAGUGGGGAAUAUUGCACAAUGGGCGGAAGCCUGAUGCAGCAACGCCGCGUGCGGGAUGACGGCCUUCGGGUUGUAAACCGCUUUCGCCUGUGACGAAGCGUGAGUGACGGUAAUGGGUAAAGAAGCACCGGCUAACUACGUG
This 468-nucleotide ribosomal RNA is filed under the name uncultured bacterium. RNAcentral's name for it is "partial 16S ribosomal RNA". It matches the Rfam family "Bacterial small subunit ribosomal RNA", at positions 28 to 507 of the family's 1533-position model. The record is from RNAcentral.